This 160-nucleotide ribosomal RNA is filed under the name Cratylia argentea. RNAcentral describes it as "5.8S ribosomal RNA". It matches the Rfam family "5.8S ribosomal RNA". Rfam says of the family: 5.8S ribosomal RNA (5.8S rRNA) is a component of the large subunit of the eukaryotic ribosome. It is transcribed by RNA polymerase I as part of the 45S precursor that also contains 18S and 28S rRNA. Functionally, it is thought that 5.8S rRNA may be involved in ribosome translocation. RNAcentral also lists the same sequence under 1 other name. Lineage: Eukaryota; Viridiplantae; Streptophyta; Magnoliopsida; Fabales; Fabaceae. The record is from RNAcentral.
GGCAACGGAUAUCUCGGCUCUUGCAUCGAUGAAGAACGUAGCAAAAUGCGAUACUUGGUGUGAAUUGCAGAAUCCCGUGAACCAUCGAGUCUUUGAACGCAAGUUGCGCCUGAAACCAUUAGGUUGAGGGCACGUCUGCCUGGGUGUCACACAAUGUUGU